RNAcentral lists this ribosomal RNA (393 nucleotides) under uncultured bacterium. RNAcentral's name for it is "partial 16S ribosomal RNA". It matches the Rfam family "Bacterial small subunit ribosomal RNA", at positions 523 to 918 of the family's 1533-position model. The record is from RNAcentral.
AUACGGAGGAUGCGAGCGUUAUCCGGAUUUAUUGGGUUUAAAGGGAGCGUAGGUGGGGUAUUAAGUCAGCUGUGAAAGUUUGGGGCUCAACCUUAAAAUUGCAGUUGAUACUGGUUUCCUUGAGUACGGUACAGGUGGGCGGAAUUCGUGGUGUAGCGGUGAAAUGCUUAGAUAUCACGAAGAACUCCGAUUGCGAAGGCAGCUCACUAGACUGUUACUGACACUGAUGCUCGAAAGUGUGGGUAUCAAACAGGAUUAGAUACCCUGGUAGUCCGCACAGUAAACGAUGAAUACUCGCUGUUUGCGAUACACUGUAAGCGGCCAAGCGAAAGCGUUAAGUAUUCCACCUGGGGAGUACGCCGGCAACGGUGAAACUCAAAUGAAUUGGCGGGG